GACGAACGCUGGCGGCGUGCCUAAUACAUGCAAGUCGAGCGGACGGAUGGGAGCUUGCUCCCAGACCGUCAGCGGCGGACGGGUGAGUAACACGUGGGCAACCUGCCUGUAAGACUGGGAUAACUCCGGGAAACCGGGGCUAAUACCGGAUAACUCUUUCCCUCACAUGAGGGAAAGCUGAAAGAUGGCAUCUCGCUAUCACUUACAGAUGGGCCCGCGGCGCAUUAGCUAGUUGGUGAGGUAACGGCUCACCAAGGCGACGAUGCGUAGCCGACCUGAGAGGGUGAUCGGCCACACUGGGACUGAGACACGGCCAAGACUCCUACGGGAGGCAGCAGUAGGGAAUCUUCCGCAAUGGACGAAAGUCUGACGGAGCAACGCCGCGUGAGUGAUGAAGGUUUUCGGAUCGUAAAACUCUGUUGUCAGGGAAGAACAAGUACCGGAGUAACUGCCGGUACCUUGACGGUAACUGACCAGAAAGCCACGGCUAACUACGUG
This 498-nucleotide ribosomal RNA is filed under the name uncultured bacterium. Its description in RNAcentral is "partial 16S ribosomal RNA". It matches the Rfam family "Bacterial small subunit ribosomal RNA", at positions 28 to 507 of the family's 1533-position model. The record is from RNAcentral.